This 433-nucleotide ribosomal RNA is filed under the name uncultured bacterium. RNAcentral's name for it is "partial 16S ribosomal RNA". It matches the Rfam family "Bacterial small subunit ribosomal RNA", at positions 29 to 507 of the family's 1533-position model. The record is from RNAcentral.
AACGAACGCUGGCGGCAUGCCUAACACAUGCAAGUCGAACGAGACCUUCGGGUCUAGUGGCGCACGGGUGCGUAACGCGUGGGAACCUGCCCUUAGGUUCGGAAUAACUCCCCGUAAGGGGUGCUAAUACCGGAUAAUGUCCUCGGACCAAAGAUUUAUCGCCUUUGGAUGGGCCCGCGUUGGAUUAGCUAGUUGGUAGGGUAAAAGCCUACCAAGGCGACGAUCCAUAGCUGGUCUGAGAGGAUGAUCAGCCACACUGGGACUGAGACACGGCCCAGACUCCUACGGGAGGCAGCAGUGGGGAAUAUUGGACAAUGGGCGAAAGCCUGAUCCAGCAAUGCCGCGUGAGUGAUGAAGGCCUUAGGGUUGUAAAGCUCUUUUACCCGGGAUGAUAAUGACAGUACCGGGAGAAUAAGCACCGGCUAACUCCGUG